RNAcentral lists this long non-coding RNA (1151 nucleotides) under Musa acuminata (dwarf banana). RNAcentral describes it as "long non-coding RNA (MACU_LNC005015)". Lineage: Eukaryota; Viridiplantae; Streptophyta; Magnoliopsida; Zingiberales; Musaceae. The record is from RNAcentral.
AUCGUCCAUCAUCGGCAUCAGGAUCUUAAAGGCCCUAAAAUGAUUUCCACUUGCUGAGUCUUGUGGGCGUCGCCAAUGAUUUCACGAGCCAUGGAACCAAGCACAUGCACCAUGGAGGGGACGUACGCUUGCACAUGCCCUGCGCAGCCGCUUCUCCAGGAGACCAAAAUCCACGUCCGUCGGCGCCACGGCAAGCAACAGGGAGACCUCCAUCGGAAGCAUGUGUAUGAUUGAUUACCUGAGUGAAGCCAGGGGUUGGGGAGUUACAUGUGCAAAUGAGUUGGACGUCGGACGCACUCACAUGGGAUGCACCCGUGCCACCUUUUCUUGGACCACGGACAACACUAAUUUAUGUCAUCUUCGGUCGGCCCAAGUGACAUCGGAUUCCAUGGGGAGUGAGUUGAAAGGCAUUGGACUGCGACUAGAAAUUGCAACCAGUGGAAAGACUUUGCAUCUUUGUCAGAGAGCAGGGCAAGGGAACAGGGUCAGAGGAUCGAUCCUCCAGUUAUUUUUGUCAGUCAGAAAGGUGGAUCUCACGAGGGAUUUCUUUGUCCUUUUCUUCACGUAAGAAGACAUUUUCUUGAUCAGGUCGACUCUCUUUAAGCAGAACACACAAGAUAUGGGAUGAGCUUUGGAUACAAGUGAUGUGCAAGUAGGAAUCACUAUGCAAAAAGGAAUCCCAUGAUGCAGUAAGUUCUAAGACCUGGAUAGCUGGUUGAAAGACAACUUCAGUUGGUGUACAUGCAUGCAGUGUAAGGAAAGUAUUCUUCAGACUUAGAGUACAUAUGAUGGUGGAGAUGGAGAAGUAAUGCUGACAGUACUGCUGUGGAGACACUAACUUGACUUGCAGCCAAUUAGAUGUAUUAUGAAAAGCUGUUAUCUGGAUAAAUUGUGUCUAAUCCUUUUCCUGAUGUGAUACUGUGUGUCCUCAGAAAGAACAUAUUCACAUCAAACAGCUCAUAGCUUCAUGCUAUGUCAUGUAUGGCGCAUGCAGAUCUGCAUUUUGUCCUCAAGAUUAUUUUUCUAGAUCAGAACAUCCAAAAGGCCAAGCCUUGCUUAAACUUGUUUGGAUUAGAUUCUAAAGCUUAUUCAUUUUGCAAGUGAAAACUCAACUUGUGCAUCUUGUUGAACUUUUAGUAAAUGCAAGUGUG